RNAcentral lists this ribosomal RNA (429 nucleotides) under bacterium. RNAcentral describes it as "partial 16S ribosomal RNA". It matches the Rfam family "Bacterial small subunit ribosomal RNA", at positions 355 to 776 of the family's 1533-position model. The record is from RNAcentral.
UAGGGAAUCUUCCACAAUGGACGCAAGUCUGAUGGAGCAACGCCGCGUGAGUGAAGAAGGUUUUCGGAUCGUAAAGCUCUGUUGUUGGUGAAGAAGGAUAGAGGUAGUAACUGGCCUUUAUUUGACGGUAAUCAACCAGAAAGUCACGGUUAACUACGUGCCAGCAGCCGCGGUAAUACGUAGGUGGCAAGCGUUGUCCGGAUUUAUUGGGCGUAAAGCGAGCGCAGGCGGAAGAAUAAGUCUGAUGAGAAAGCCCUCGGCUUAACCGAGGAACUGCAUCGGAAACUGUUUUUCUUGAGUGCAGAAGAGGAGAGUGGAAUUCCAUGUGUAGCGGUGGAAUGCGUAGAUAUAUGGAAGAACACCAGUGGCGAAGGCGACUCUCUGGUCUGCAACUGACGCUGAGGCUCGAAAGCAUGGGUAGCGAACAGG